GACGAACGCUGGCGGCGUGCUUAACACAUGCAAGUCGAACGGAAAGGCCCUUCGGGGUUCUCGAGUUGCAAACGGGAGCGUAACACGUGGGUGAUCUUCCCUGCACUUUGGGAUAAGCCUGGGUAACUGAGUCUGAUACCGAAUCGGACCACGCGCUUCAUGGGGUGGGGUGGAGUGCUUUUGCGGUGGGGGAUGGGCACGCGGCCUAUCAGCUUGUUGGUGGGGUAGUGGCCUACCAAGGCCACGACGGGUAGCCGGCCUGAGAGGGUGACCGGCCACACUGGGACUGAGAUACGGCCCAGACUCCUACGGGAGGCAGCAGUGGGGAAUAUUGCACAAUGGGCGCAAGCCUGAUGCAGCGACGCCGCGUGAGGGAUGACGGCCUUCGGGUUGUAAACCUCUUUCAAUAGGGACGAAGCGCAAGUGACGGUACCUAGAGAAGAAGCACCGGCCAACUACGUG
This 462-nucleotide ribosomal RNA is filed under the name uncultured bacterium. Its description in RNAcentral is "partial 16S ribosomal RNA". It matches the Rfam family "Bacterial small subunit ribosomal RNA", at positions 28 to 507 of the family's 1533-position model. The record is from RNAcentral.